CAGUGGAUGGUCGAUGCCCA
RNAcentral lists this unclassified non-coding RNA (20 nucleotides) under Dictyostelium discoideum. Lineage: Eukaryota; Evosea; Eumycetozoa; Dictyosteliales; Dictyosteliaceae. The record is from RNAcentral.